GACGACAUACGCGGGAGUCCGGCGCACCGGGCUGAGAGGGAGGCGGGCGGCCUCCGACCGUACGAACCUGAUCCGGGUCAUUCCGGCGAAGGGAGACACAGCGUUUCCAUG
This 111-nucleotide non-coding RNA is filed under the name Streptomyces sp. RNAcentral's name for it is "TPP sequence". It matches the Rfam family "TPP riboswitch aptamer (THI element)". From Rfam's summary of the family: Vitamin B(1) in its active form thiamin pyrophosphate (TPP) is an essential coenzyme that is synthesised by coupling of pyrimidine and thiazole moieties in bacteria. RNAcentral also lists the same sequence under 1 other name. The record is from RNAcentral. Lineage: Bacteria; Bacillati; Actinomycetota; Actinomycetes; Kitasatosporales; Streptomycetaceae.